This 497-nucleotide ribosomal RNA is filed under the name uncultured bacterium. RNAcentral's name for it is "partial 16S ribosomal RNA". It matches the Rfam family "Bacterial small subunit ribosomal RNA", at positions 28 to 507 of the family's 1533-position model. The record is from RNAcentral.
GAUGAACGCUGGCGGCGUGCCUAAUACAUGCAAGUCGAGCGAACGGACGAGAAGCUUGCUUCUCUGAUGUUAGCGGCGGACGGGUGAGUAACACGUGGAUAACCUACCUAUAAGACUGGGAUAACUUCGGGAAACCGUAGCUAAUACCGGAUAAUAUUUUGAACCGCAUGGUUCAAAAGUGAAAGACGGUCUUGCUGUCACUUAUAGAUGGAUCCGCGCUGCAUUAGCUAGUUGGUAAGGUAACGGCUUACCAAGGCAACGAUGCAUAGCCGACCUGAGAGGGUGAUCGGCCACACUGGAACUGAGACACGGUCCAGACUCCUACGGGAGGCAGCAGUUGGGAAUCUUCCGCAAAGGGCGAAAGCCUGACGGAGCAACGCCGCGUGAGUGAUGAAGGUCUUCGGAUCGUAAAACUCUGUUAUUAGGGAAGAACAUAUGUGUAAGUAACUGUGCACAUCUUGACGGUACCUAAUCAGAAAGCCACGGCUAACUACGUG